AGUGAACGCUGGCGGUAGGCCUAACACAUGCAAGUCGAACGGCAGCACAGUAAGAGCUUGCUCUUACGGGUGGCGAGUGGCGGACGGGUGAGGAAUACAUCGGAAUCUACUUUUUCGUGGGGGAUAACGUAGGGAAACUUACGCUAAUACCGCAUACGACCUACGGGUGAAAGCAGGGGAUCUUCGGACCUUGCGCGAUUGAAUGAGCCGAUGUCGGAUUAGCUAGUUGGCGGGGUAAAGGCCCACCAAGGCGACGAUCCGUAGCUGGUCUGAGAGGAUGAUCAGCCAAACUGGAAAUGAGACACGGUCCAGACUCCUACGGGAGGCAGCAGUGGGGAAUAUUGGACAAUGGGCGCAAGCCUGAUCCAGCCAUACCGCGUGAGUGAAGAAGGCCUUCGGGUUGUAAAGCCCUUUUGUUGGGAAAGAAAAGCAGCAGGUUAAUACCCCGCUGUUCUGACGGUACAAAAAGAAUAAGCACCGGCUAACUUCGUG
Molecule: ribosomal RNA, 492 nt
Filed under: uncultured bacterium
Lineage: Bacteria
Description: partial 16S ribosomal RNA
Rfam family: Bacterial small subunit ribosomal RNA
Source: RNAcentral